Molecule: unclassified non-coding RNA, 193 nt
Filed under: Tranzschelia discolor
Lineage: Eukaryota; Fungi; Basidiomycota; Pucciniomycetes; Pucciniales; Raveneliaceae
Description: ITS2
Source: RNAcentral
GAAACCCCUCUCAUUGAUCAAUUUUAUUAUUGAUCUCAAUGGAUGAUGAGUGUUGCUCUUCUUUUAAGAAGCAGCUCACUUUAAAUUGAUCAGUUCAUUUUUAGAAAAUCAUAAAAAGAGAGUUGAUGUGAUACUUAUCUUCAUCAAUUCCAAGCAUUUUUUAAUAAGGCACUUCUAAAGCAAACUUUUGAUU